CCUGCUUGAUCCUGCCAGUAGUAAUAUGCUUGUCUCAAAGAUUAAGCCAUGUAUGUGUAAGUAUGAACUAAUUCAGAUUGUGAAACUGCGAAUGGCUCAUUAAAUAAGUUGUAGUUAUUUUGAUGGUAUUUGCUACUCGGAUAACCAUAGUAAUUCUAGAGCUAAUACGCGCAACAAACCCUGACUUCUGAAAGGGAUGUAUUUAUUAGAUAAAAGGUCGAUGCGGGCUUUGCCCGUUGCUUUGAUGAUUCAUGAUAACUCGACGGAUUGCACGGCCUUUGUGGUGGCGACGCAUCAUUCAAAUUUCUGCCCUAUCAACUUUCGAUGGUAGGAUAGUGGCCUACUAUAGUGGUGACGGGUGACGAAGAAUUAGGGUUCAAUUCCGGAGAGGAAGCCUGAGAAACGGCUACCACAUCCAAGGAAGGCAUGAGGCAUGCAAAUUACCCAAUCCUGACAUAGGGAGGUAGUGACAAUAAAUAACAAAACCGGGCUCUACGAGUAUGGUAAUUAGAAUGAGUACAAUCUAAAUCCCUUAAGGAGGAUCCAUUGGAGGGCAAGUAUGGUGCCAGAAGUCGCGGUAAUUCCAGCUCCAAUAGCGUAUAUUUAAGUUGUUGCAGUUAUAAAGCUCGUAGUUAAACCUAGGGGUGGGUCAACCGGUCUGCCUCACGGUGAGCACCGGUCUGCUCGUCCCUACUGUCGACGAUGCGCUCCUGGCCUUAAUUGGCCGGGUCGUUCCUUUGGCGCUAUUACUUUGAAGAAAUUAGAGUGCUCAAAGCAGGCCUAUGCAUGUAUACAUUAGCAUGGGAUAACAUCACAAGAUUUCGAUCCUAUUGUGUUGGUCUUCAGGAUCAGAGUAAUGAUUAACAGGGACAGUCGGGGGCAUUUGUAUUUCAUAGUCAGAGGAUAAAUUCUUGGAUUUAUGAAAGGCGGACAACUGCGAAAGCAUUUGCCAAGGAUGUUUUCAUUAAUCAAGAAUAAAAGUUGGGGGCUCGAAGAUGAUCAGAUACCAUCCUAGUCUCAACCAAGAACGAUGCCAACCAGGGAUCGACGGAUGUUGCUUUUAGGACUCCGCUGAAACCUUUUGAGAAAUCAAAGUCUUUGGGUUCCGGGGGGAGUAUGGUCGCAAGGCUGAAACUUAAAGAAAUUACGGGAAGGGCACCACCAAGAGUGGAGCUUGCGACUUAAUUUGAUUCAACACGGGGAAACUUCCCAGGCCAUACAUAGUAAGGAUUGAUAGACUGAGAGCUCUUUCUUGAUUCUAUGGGUGGUGGUGCAUGGUCGUUCUUAGUUGGUAGAGCAAUUUAUCUAGUUAAUUUCGUUAUCGAACGAGACAUCGGCCUGCUAACUAGCUACAUGGAUGUGAUCCUCUGUGGCUAGCUUCUAAGAGGGACUAAGGCCACUUGGGCCAAGGAAGUUUGAGGCAAUAACAGGUCUUUAAUGCCCUUAGAUGUUCUGGGCCGCACGCACGCUACACUGAUGUAUUCAACGAGUAUAUAGCCUUGGCCGACAUGCCCGGGUAAUCUUUGGAAUUUCAUCAUGAUGGGCAUAAAUCAUUAUAAUUGUUGGUCUACAACGAGGAUCUCCUAGUAAGCACGAGUCAUCAGCUCGAGUUAACUACGUCCCUGCCCUUUGUACACACCGCCCGUCGCUCCUACCGAUUGAAUGAUCCUGUGAAAUGUUUAGAUCGCGACGACGUGGGUGGUUUGCUGCCCGCGACGUUGUCAGAAGUCCACUGAACCUUAUCAUUUAAAGAAAGGAGAAGUCAUAACAAGGUUUCCGUAGGUGAACCUACAAAAG
This 1797-nucleotide ribosomal RNA is filed under the name Hibiscus syriacus. RNAcentral describes it as "SSU rRNA". It matches the Rfam family "Eukaryotic small subunit ribosomal RNA". Lineage: Eukaryota; Viridiplantae; Streptophyta; Magnoliopsida; Malvales; Malvaceae. The record is from RNAcentral.